GCAUGGUGAAGUGGUGGGGGGUGGGCACACAGGCCACUGCUGUGUCCUGAGCCAGUGAAAGUGGAGCCAGCUGCAAUUCAGAAUCUGCAUUAACUUGGGUCCCAGCCCCAUGCAGUACCUGGUUUGCUGGCCAGCUGGUUUUCAGUACCACAGCCAGCUUCCUUAGGUGGUCAGAGGGUUUGUGCCUUAGUGCCCCACAACAGCUGCUCCUGGAGAACUUCAGUGUCUUCAUGUGACACCUCAUUCCUGUUGUUCAGGCACUGGUGAAGGCAGAUGUCUACAGUCCCACCUGCCUGUGCAGAGCACUGCUGCUGUGGUGCUGGCUGAAGCUGCUGUCCCUCACAUGCUGUGACUGCCACUUCCAACAUGACAGUGUGGGGGAUCAGGGAAACUCAGCACCUGAAAAGCCCUGGAGCAGCUCUUAUGCAGGAGAAGAGAUGCUGCCAUGCUGAUGAGCUAUGACUUGUGGGGAAACAAGCCCAAGAGAGAAGUCUUCAAAUCACCCUGAGUCUGAAUCUGUUGUUAAGAAAAACAAAAGCAGCCUCAGGUAUUU
RNAcentral lists this long non-coding RNA (553 nucleotides) under Taeniopygia guttata (zebra finch). RNAcentral describes it as "lncRNA (ENSTGUG00000029272.1)". The record is from RNAcentral. Lineage: Eukaryota; Metazoa; Chordata; Aves; Passeriformes; Estrildidae.